UACGAGUGCCCCAAGCGUUAUCCGGAAUCAUUGGGCGUAAAGGGUGUGUAGGUGGUUUCUCUAGUCUUCUGUUAAAACCUCGGGCUCAACUCGAGAAUUGCAGAGGAAACGGGGAGACUUGAGGGUGCGAGGGGUGAAUGGAACUCAUGGAGUAGGGGUGAAAUCCGUUGAUAUCAUGGGGAACACCAAAAGCGAAGGCAAUUCACUGGCGCACUUCUGACACUGAAACACGAAAGCGUGGGUAGCGAACGGG
RNAcentral lists this ribosomal RNA (253 nucleotides) under uncultured bacterium. Its description in RNAcentral is "partial 16S ribosomal RNA". It matches the Rfam family "Bacterial small subunit ribosomal RNA", at positions 524 to 776 of the family's 1533-position model. The record is from RNAcentral.